This 254-nucleotide ribosomal RNA is filed under the name uncultured bacterium. RNAcentral describes it as "partial 16S ribosomal RNA". It matches the Rfam family "Bacterial small subunit ribosomal RNA", at positions 524 to 776 of the family's 1533-position model. The record is from RNAcentral.
GACAGAGGUGGCAAGCGUUGUUCGGAUUCAUUGGGUGUAAAGGGUGCGUAGGCGGUUUGGAAAGUCAGAUGUGAAAUACUACAGCUUAACUGUAGAACUGCAUUUGAAACUCCCAGACUAGAGUGUGGAAGAGGUGAAGGGAAUUCCCGGUGUAAGGGUGAAAUCUGCAGAUAUCGGGAAGAACACCAGUAGCGAAGGCGCUUCACUGGUCCAUUACUGACGCUGAGUGCACGAAGGUGUGGGGAGCAAACGGG